AAUGUACUCAUCAUGAGUCCUAUUUUAAACAAUACGUUUUCGUAUAAAAUGUUAUAAUUGUGCUGUCGUCGAUGAAAUGCAAAAUGCAAAAGACAAUCGAUCCGUUGCCACCUUUACCGGAGUUCGGCCGUGACGUGAGUGUAAGACACGGUCAAUAUUGUAACCGUGGCUAAAUAUUCAAGCAUAUCGACAAGCUAUGAUAUGGUAAAACUGACGUCCCGGUGAAUAAACCAUGGUACAAUUACGGUACAAAUGAUUUAUGACCGCGGUUUAGACUGGUAUCAAUGUUGUUAUAAUUAUGGUUGAGCAUCGGCAUGAUCCGAUAUCGGCCGAUAUUAAAUAGUUUUUCAAACCUAUUUUAGACCCGAUAUUUUUUAUUUGAAAACAAAAGAUGCUCGUUUUAAUAAACACAUUACUAACUUCAUAAAAUGCGUUGUGUAUAGUUUAUAUACAUAUUUAAAUUAUAUCGGUAAAAAUCGGAUGUCGGAUUUUUUUUGAGACAUCGGAUGAUUUGAAUUACGUUUUCAAACAGUUAUCGGAUCAGUUAUCGGUUUCAUAUCGGUAGCAAAUAUUUGAAUAUCGGAUAUUGGAAAAAAGACACAUUGGCACACCACUAAUUAUAAUGUCAAAAUAAUUACGGUAUUUGAAUAUUGAAAUGUAACGUGGGAAUGCUAAUACGAGCGAACGGAAAACAUUUUCAGUUCCGCACAAUAAACCGGAUAGCAGUGCCUAUAUAAACG
Molecule: non-coding RNA, 740 nt
Organism: Cinara cedri
Lineage: Eukaryota; Metazoa; Arthropoda; Insecta; Hemiptera; Aphididae
Source: the annotation of a GenBank genome assembly